GGGGUCAAAUCAGAGCUGCAGCUGCUGGCCUACACCACAAGCCACAGCAAUGCGGAUCUGAGCUGCAUCGGUGACCCCACGGCUCACAGCAACACAGGAUCCUCAACGCACUGAGCAAGGCUAGGGAUCGAACCUGCAUCCUCAUGGGUACCAUGUUGGGUUCUUAACCUGCUGAGUCACAAUGGGAAUGCCAAGACCUGGAAUUUGACUGGAGGCCUGAUGAAGCUGAAGGAUGUGCCCCCAGGAGCCUGGGAGGAUGACACUGUGGGGUUUUCCUCUGAUAGUGCUAGCCUGCUUUACGCUCGCUCUGCUCUGAAGCCUUUAAGCAAGAACUACAUCUAAUGCCCACUCAAGGCUGGGCUCCUAAACAGGAAAUAGGUGAGAUGCCUUAUCUGAUGGUGACUUUCUAAUUCUAGGUUUUAUUUAACUUAAUUAAAUUAAUUAAUUAAUUAAUUAAUUUAUUUUUUGUCUUUUUGCCUUUUCUAGGGCCGCUCCCGUGGCAUAUGGAGGUUCCCGGGCUAGGGGUCUAAUCGGAGCUGUAGCCACCAGCCUACACCAGAGCCACAGUAAUUCUAGGUUUUAAACCACAACCACCAAAGAUGGUGGGUGCCAGCAAACCUUCCUCAGUUAUCACCAAAAGUGCUAUUUCCUACAUUUAAAGACCCUCUUCUCCACUCUCUAGAAUCUGUGCCCUUAGAGAAACCAUGCCCCUUGAAGGGACGUUCCCAGCCAAGGAAGAGGCAAGCGAACAGCCUUCAGCUCUAGCCUGGGCCAGCCAAGUCCUGCUGUCAAUUGGACUUGCCACUCCUCUUUAGGACCUUGGGAAGAGGAGCAAGGGAUGGGUCUGGGUUUACUCCAGCUCAGAGUUGAGGGAGAAGACUGAUGGGCCAAGGAAAUUAGGAGGUAGGCACACCAGUGCAUCUGGGAGGGCCAGGGGGAUGGGGAGGGCUGCAUUGGUGGCAGCAAUGAGGCGGUCUCUCCGGAGUCCUACCAGGGACGCUCUCUCUUCCUCCUGUCCCCACCAAGGAGAUGGGAACACUGGACCACGAGGAGGUGGAGAGGAUUCCUCCCAAGGCCAGUCCCAACCUGCACUAUAGGUCUUAAGAGCCCAGGAUCAGUGACAAAAUAGUCACAUCCAGAAUGCUGGUUGAUGACAUGAGCCAGACUUACUAGCUUUCCAGUCCUGGCUUUAUCACUGGGCUGUGUCACUUCCAGCAAAUCCUAUAACCUCUUGGAGCCUCAGUUUCCUCAUCAGGGAAAAUGGGGAUACUACUAUAUACCUUUGGGGUUAUUUUGAGACAAAUGGGAUACUCCACUUAAAGCACUUUGCACAGUACCUGGCACACAGAAUACUCUAGAACUGUUAACUCUUUUUUUGUUGUUGUUGUCUUUUUAGGACCGCACCUGCAGCAUAUGGCAGUUCCCAGGCUAGGGGUUGAACUGGAGCUUCAGCUGCUGGCCUAUGCCACAGCCACAGCAACGCCAGGUCUGAGCCCCGUCUGUGACCUACACCAUAAUUCAUGGCAAUGCCGGAUCUUUAGCCCACUGAGCUGGGCCAGGGAUUGAACCCGAAUCCUCAUGGAUACUAGUUGGGUUCAUUACCAGUGAGUCACAAUGGGAACUCCUAGAACUGUUAAUGCUUUGCUGUUGUUGUUAUGGUCUAAGCAUCUCUCUGGAAAAGAAGCUGUUUACCCGUACAGUGGGUUGUCACCUCUAAUCCAAUUGGUAGAAGCCCCAGUUCUACCUCAAAAUGUGAAAGCCUUUCACUCAACCACAGAGAAGUGGUCCAGAAAACUCACCAUCAUGGCCGCUGGGGCUCAUCCAGCCCCCGGGGAGGAACUACUGUUUCCUGCCAACAGUUUCCUUCUUUGAGUGGCCUGGGGCAUAGCACUGGGGGCUUUGUGAAAAUUAGGACACAAGAAAUACAAGCAGCACCCAGAGAUUAAACCUGUUCUGUCACAGAGGUGUGACCUUGAAGGGGAUUUCACAAGGACUGCAGAGGCAGGGCAAGAGGUGGGAGUGACUGUCCUCAGAUCCACCCUCUCAGCACACCUGUCGGCAGUACUUGACAGCCUGGAUCCCAGCCCAGCCAGCACAACCCUGGGACCUGACGGCAGUGAGCAGUUGCUCAUCUGAGUGAUGGAGGCUCCACAAAUAGCUGCCAAUCUCAUGGGACCAGAGAUGGGCCCUUGGAACAGCCAAAGAUUUGGUCUCUAUUUAGGUGGGGCAGUAAGGAUGUGGCGUGUAUUAUACCUGGGCCUCUUAGCAGAGGAAACGCAGGCUGAGGUCCUCCCUCCUCUCUGCUCCCCUGUCCCUUUGGUUUUAAGUGGAAGUAUUUUCUCUUGCCCUCUCUCCUCUCCCUUUACAACGAAACAUCAUCUUUAGGCUCUAAAAACUGUCCCCAGAAGACUUUUCACAUCUUGGUGGGGACAUGGAAAGAUGAUGGGCAUACUAUGAAUGAUGUAACUUAGUGACGGAUCUGCUGCAGAAUCUCCUGAUGUUCUGGAUGAACAGUCACGUACAGCUCUUUAAGUGCAGAUCUGAGCUCAUAAGAUAGUAAAGGAAAUCUCCAAGGGCCAAAUGAAGAGGGAAUUGCAAGCUACAGCAUCAAGCACAUGACUGAAACAAUGGUAUCCCUGGGGGUGGGGGGGGUGUACAGGUUGGUUUUGGUCAUCUAGGCACUUGGGUUUGAAAGUUCAUCCAUAACAUUUGUAUGGUUUCCAGUUUGGGGAUUUAUGAAUAGCACUGCUUUGAAUAUUCUACUACAUUAAUUUUGAACAGAGGACAUUCCUGUGGACAAAUAUCUAAGAGAAAAAAAUUAUUGGAUCUUAGGUAUGCAUAAACUCAGAUUUGGAGGACAUGCUAUAUAGUUUUUCAAAGUGGUCAACCAUUUAAAAUUCCCAGUGAAUGAGCAUUCCAGUUGCUCCCUAUUCACCCCAACAAUUGAUACUGUCUUUUCUUCUCUGCCUCAUAUGAACCACUCUGGUUGGAUUUGCAUUUCCAUAAUGACUAAUGAGAGUGACCACUUUUCAUAAAUAGUUUGGCAAUGUGGUAUAUGCUUUUGUGAAAUGCCUGUCCAAGUAUUUUAGUUUUCUGUUUUUUUCUUACUGAUUUAUAAUUCUUUAUAUACUUAAAAAUACAGAUCUUUGUCAAGAUCUAUAUUGAUCUUGCAGAUAUCUUUUUACAUUCCGUAGUUUACCCUUUCACUCUCCUGGUGGUAUUUUUUAAUGAAUAGAUGUCCUUGAUUUUAAUAAAGUCCAAUUAUCAGGCUUUUCCUCAUAGCUUGCUUUAUAUGACCUAUUUAAGAAAUGUUUUUUUUCUCCAUAGUAAUAAAGAUAGUUCCUAUGUUUUCUUUUAGAAGCAUUCUUAUUUUUCAUAUGUACAUCUACAACUCAUCUGGAAUUCAUCUCUUCGUAUAUAUAGGAGUUAUUACUUUUUCCCAUCCAGUUAUCCAAUUGAUCUCACACUAUUUAAUUAAAAAAGUUAAGCAUCCAGCGUUAUCAUUGCAGUGGCUUGGGUCCGGGAACUUCGACAUGCUGUGGGCAUGGCCAAAAAAAAAAAAAAAAAAAAAGUAUUCUUUCCCCCAUUGUACUGCAUUGUUAUCUUUACCAUAAAUCAAGUGCCUAUAUAUGUAUCGGUCAGUUUCUGUAUUCUCUAUUCUGUUCAUGACAGUCUCAUAUUUUAUAUCAUUACCUAGCUUUACAAUGAGUCUUGAUUAUCAGGUAGCGAGAGCCCUCCAACUUCUUCAAGUUUGUCUUGGUUCUAGUUGGUCCUCUGCAUUUAUUUAUAUGGCUUAGAAUCAGCUUCUUGUCAAUUUCCAUGCAUACUCACUAAACCUGCUGAGAUUUUUAUUAGGAUCACAUGGAAAACUUUAGAUAUAUUGUAGAGUGUUUAUAUCUUUAUGAUUUUGAAUCGUCCAGUAUAUGAACAUGGUAGAGCUCUUGUACAACUUCCAUUAUAGGAAUACCUAGAUAUUUGAUAUUUUUUUAUGCUACUGUAAAUUCUGUAGGUUAAAGGUUCAGAUGUGCUUACUCAUUUGGUCUGGAAAUUCCUAAGCUGAGAAAUUAAGAUAAAAGUCGUCCCAAGCAGCGAUAAUGUACCUGCAAUGCUUAUCAGAAGCAAAUAAAAAACCUCCCUGGAGGGAUAUGCCGUCAAUGCAAGGAGCCCAAUAUUGCUACAAAUAGAGGCACACUAAAUAUGAGUAUGCAAACCAACAUUACAAGACAUACAAUGAACCAAUCCAGCAUGAGCUAGAGUCAGCAGAUGAGCGGCUGUGAGAUUAGACCCCAAUAACUUAAGAUAAUAGAACUAGCAAAUAAAUUAUAAAAUAAAUAUAUUUAAAAUGAGUAAAUACUUAAAAAGGUAUUAAACAUAUAUAAGGAGAGUCAGACAUUAUUAAAAAGAAUGAGAGAGUUGAAAAAGAAUAAUAAUGCUAAUAAAAUUGAAAAAUAUAUAUUCAUUAAAAUUAAAAAUUCAGUGAACAAAUUAGAUGAAACUUAAGGAGAAUUGGGAAAUUGGAAGGUAGAGUAGAAAUCUUUCACAGAAAGCAGCUCAGAGAGAUUAAGAGAUGGGAAAUGAGGCAGUUCCCUUC
Molecule: long non-coding RNA, 4591 nt
Filed under: Sus scrofa (pig)
Lineage: Eukaryota; Metazoa; Chordata; Mammalia; Artiodactyla; Suidae
Description: lncRNA (ENSSSCG00060021406.1)
Source: RNAcentral